GGGUCAGUAGGUUGGUCGUGCCACCGGUACGUACUGGUCUCACUGAUUCCUCCUUCCUGAAGAACCGUAAUGCCAUUAAUCUGGUGUUGCGGGGAAACAGGACUGUUACUUUAAAAAAAUUAGAGUGUUUAGAGCAAGCUAACGCUUGAAUACAUUAGCAUGGAAUAAUGAAAUAGGACGAUCGAUCCUAUUUUGUUGGUUUCUAGGAUUGACGUA
RNAcentral lists this ribosomal RNA (216 nucleotides) under Glomeromycotina sp. Its description in RNAcentral is "partial small subunit ribosomal RNA". The stretch from base 40 to 216 matches the Rfam family "Eukaryotic small subunit ribosomal RNA", at positions 686 to 864 of the family's 1831-position model. Lineage: Eukaryota; Fungi; Glomeromycota. The record is from RNAcentral.